Molecule: ribosomal RNA, 305 nt
Filed under: uncultured bacterium
Lineage: Bacteria
Description: bacterial SSU rRNA
Rfam family: Bacterial small subunit ribosomal RNA
Source: RNAcentral
GCCUACGGGGGGCAGCAGUGGGGGAUAUUGCACAAUGGGGGGAACCCUGAUGCAGCGACGCCGCGUGGGUGAAGGAGCGUUUCGGCGCGUAAAGCCCUAUCGGCAGGGAAGAAAAUGACGGUACCUGACUAAGAAGCCCCGGCUAACUACGUGCCAGCAGCCGCGGUAAUACGUAGGGGGCAAGCGUUAUCCGGAUUUACUGGGUGUAAAGGGAGCGUAGACGGCCAGACAAGUCAGAAGUGAAAGCCCAGGGCUCAACUCUGGGACUGCCUUUGAAGCUGCCGGGCUGGAGUGCAGGAGAGGGA